Paramuricea clavata is the source of this 1265-nucleotide non-coding RNA. Lineage: Eukaryota; Metazoa; Cnidaria; Anthozoa; Malacalcyonacea; Plexauridae. The record is from the annotation of a GenBank genome assembly.
GAUCGCUUUGUCCCUGUGAGCAUGAGAACAGUGAAGUUUUUCAAAACGUGUGCUUUAGAUGUCUAACGUGACGGUUUUAAUAAUAACAAGACGCCUACUCAGGCGUUCACUCCGGGUACAGGGCCUUAACUAAGCGCAAACUACUUUAACGGAGGGCCCUGAAGGGGUAAAAUGGGAACUGGGAUUGAUCUAUUUUUAGACUGGGAAAAUGGGAUUUGGGUUGCUGGGACUGGGAUUUGGCCACUGGGAAAUGAAGUCCUCAAAAAUGGGAAUGGGAUUGAGGUAAUGCGAGUCGAUUCCCAAUUUUUCUACGUUUUAAGUAUUUUAAAAUACACUUUUGAACCGUUUUUGGUGUCUUUGGUCAUGAUUUUUGUUGUUAACUAUAUUAUUCACAGCACUACCUGCGAACAGGCAUACUCUGGCGCCCGGAAUUGCAAAUGCCAUUUCCGGGAUUCAAAUUUAAAAACUUUCCGUGCCUUCGGAACGAGUCCCCCCCCCCCCCAAUGUUUCAUAAAAUGUCCACCACUUGCACACACGGUGGCUUAAAAGGUCUUAAAACUGUUUAUUCUACCGAUAAAUAAAGGGUUUUUUAUUGACUUGGAUUUCAUUAACCCGGACUGGGAUUUCUAAUAAAAAUCCAACUGGGACUGGGAUUUUGCCAAAAUUUCAGGUGGGAAAUGGGAUUGGGACCCCCCCCUUCAGGACCCUCUUAACGUAUACUUAUAUACGGCAAUGAAGGUAUCUUUAAUGCAUGAUAUUUAGCAUAUUAAAGUUGGAAAAGUGGGAGAACUACAGUGUAACCACUUCACCAGGUGACUAAAAACAUAUGCAACGAUCAUAAUAUUUUACAACAUAAAAAUAUCUCUUUUAUCUCUAAUAAAAGCUAUCUAGUUCUUUUUUAAAAGUUCUAUUUAAAACAUGCGUAGGAGUGUUUUAUCGAGUCGUAUAUAAUAAGUCGGAGGCCGUAUUUUACAAAUAUUUUAUGUGUUUUUUUUAUUGUCGAGGGUAGAAAUUCGAGGGUGAAAAGCUUGAGGGUAUACAUUUUAAUAAUUUAACAAAAUAAUAAUUUUAGCUCGUGUUCAUUUAGUUUACUUUUAAUUUUUAGCUCUUAUUUUUAUAUGCAAUUAUUAUUUUUUUAUAUGCGAUUACUUUUUAUAUGAUAAAAUAUUACUACAUGAAAACAGACAUGCCGAUCAAAAGCUACAGUCGAGAUAGUUUCAAACGGCGUGGUGCAUUAUCUGCGUUAUCUCGGAUUGCAUGUCGCA